Molecule: ribosomal RNA, 495 nt
Filed under: uncultured bacterium
Lineage: Bacteria
Description: bacterial SSU rRNA
Rfam family: Bacterial small subunit ribosomal RNA
Source: RNAcentral
CUACGUGCCAGCAGCCGCGGUAAUACGUAGGUCCCGAGCGUUGUCCGGAUUUAUUGGGCGUAAAGCGAGCGCAGGCGGUUAGAUAAGUCUGAAGUUAAAGGCUGUGGCUUAACCAUAGUACGCUUUGGAAACUGUUUAACUUGAGUGCAGAAGGGGAGAGUGGAAUUCCAUGUGUAGCGGUGAAAUGCGUAGAUAUAUGGAGGAACACCGGUGGCGAAAGCGGCUCUCUGGUCUGUAACUGACGCUGAGGCUCGAAAGCGUGGGGAGCGAACAGGAUUAGAUACCCUGGUAGUCCACGCCGUAAACGAUGAGUGCUAGGUGUUAGGCCCUUUCCGGGGCUUAGUGCCGCAGCUAACGCAUUAAGCACUCCGCCUGGGGAGUACGACCGCAAGGUUGAAACUCAAAGGAAUUGACGGGGGCCCGCACAAGCGGUGGAGCAUGUGGUUUAAUUCGAAGCAACGCGAAGAACCUUACCAGGUCUUGACAUCCCGAUGC